RNAcentral lists this non-coding RNA (76 nucleotides) under unclassified sequences. The record is from RNAcentral.
AAAAUCCUAGUGAAAAAGAUGAAACUCCUUGUGCUCAUCGAACACUGUGUCAUUUCCCUAUUUUCAUACGGAUUUU